AUUGAACGCUGGCGGCAUGCCUUACACAUGCAAGUCGAACGGUAACAGGUCUUCGGAUGCUGACGAGUGGUGAACGGGUGAGUAAUACAUCGGAACGUGCCUAGUAGUGGGGGAUAACUACUCGAAAGAGUGGCUAAUACCGCAUGAGAUCUACGGAUGGAAGCAGGGGAUCGCAAGACCUUGUGCUACUAGAGCGGCCGAUGGCAGAUUAGGUAGUUGGUGGGAUAAAAGCUUACCAAGCCGACGAUCUGUAGCUGGUCUGAGAGGACGAUCAGCCACACUGGGACUGAGACACGGCCCAGACUCCAACGGGAGGCAGCAGUGGGGAAUUUUGGACAAUGGGCGAAAGCCUGAUCCAGCAAUGCCGCGUGCAGGAUGAAGGCCUUCGGGUUGUAAACUGCUUUUGUACGGAACGAAAAGCCCCGGGUUAAUACCCUGGGGUCAUGACGGUACCGUAAGAAUAAGCACCGGCUAACUACGUGCCAGCCGCCGCCGUAA
Molecule: ribosomal RNA, 498 nt
Filed under: uncultured bacterium
Lineage: Bacteria
Description: partial 16S ribosomal RNA
Rfam family: Bacterial small subunit ribosomal RNA
Source: RNAcentral